CCUACGGGGGGCAGCAGUGGGGAAUAUUGCACAAUGGGGGAAACCCUGAUGCAGCGACGCCGCGUGAAGGAAGAAGUAUUUCGGUAUGUAAACUUCUAUCAGCAGGGAAGAAAAUGAUGGUACCUAACUAAGAAGCCCUGGCUAACUACGUGCCAGCAGCCGCGGUAAUACGUAGGGGGCAAGCGUUAUCCGGAUUUACUGGGUGUAAAGGGAGCGUAGGCGGUGCAGCAAGUCAGAAGUGAAAGCCCGGGGCUCAACUCCGGAACUGCUUAUGAAACUGGUGAACUAGAGUGCAGGAGAGGGAGGUAGAAUUCCUAGUGUAGCGGUGAAAUGCGUAGAGAUUAGGAGGAACACCAGUGGCGAAGGCGGCUUACUGGACUGUAAAUGACGCUGAGGCUCGAAAGCGUGGGGAGCAAACAGGAUUAGAUACCCCUGUAGUC
This 440-nucleotide ribosomal RNA is filed under the name uncultured bacterium. RNAcentral describes it as "partial 16S ribosomal RNA". It matches the Rfam family "Bacterial small subunit ribosomal RNA", at positions 338 to 795 of the family's 1533-position model. The record is from RNAcentral.